RNAcentral lists this transfer RNA (72 nucleotides) under Bos taurus (domestic cattle). It matches the Rfam family "tRNA". Rfam says of the family: Transfer RNA (tRNA) molecules are approximately 80 nucleotides in length. Their secondary structure includes four short double-helical elements and three loops (D, anti-codon, and T loops). Further hydrogen bonds mediate the characteristic L-shaped molecular structure. tRNAs have two regions of fundamental functional importance: the anti-codon, which is responsible for specific mRNA codon recognition, and the 3' end, to which the tRNAs corresponding amino acid is attached (by aminoacyl-tRNA synthetases). tRNAs cope with the degeneracy of the genetic code in two manners: having more than one tRNA (with a specific anti-codon) for a particular amino acid; and 'wobble' base-pairing, i.e. permitting non-standard base-pairing at the 3rd anti-codon position. RNAcentral also lists the same sequence under 4 other names. Lineage: Eukaryota; Metazoa; Chordata; Mammalia; Artiodactyla; Bovidae. The record is from Rfam by way of RNAcentral.
UCCUUGGUGGUCCAGUGGUUAGGACUCGGUACUGUCACUGCCAGGGCCUGGGUUCAAUCCCUGGUCAGAGAA